AGCAAGUACCAACGACCGGAUUUGGUGUGUGGUAGUAACAGGAACCGACCUGAGUGAGCGUGUGGACAACAGUUAUCCAGGAAUUCCAUUGUGCUGAACCAUCAACAAUGAACACAAUGUGUCCUGGCAUGAAGUUUCGUCUUGGAUUGCACCAUUUCUGUCUUUGUUGCAGUUGUGGAAGAUAUUCCUUAAUCCACUUUUCCAGAAUAAAUCCAACAUAUAUUGGACUUAUUUCCAUGUGCGCUCGGCUCUAUGGAGAUCCAAGUCAUCUUCUUCAGGCAAGAAACUCAAUUGACUGGUUCGGUGGAUUAACAGCUUGAACGCUAAGGACAUCGCCACCCGAAUCUUUGAAGAGUUAACAUUGUCAUAUCCGUGGAUCAUCAUGUGUGAACUUAAGCUCUGAAAUACUUUAUCACAUGUUCUGUCUUAAUAAGAAAACCAACAGAAUACAUUCACUGACAAUCAUUCUUCUUAACAUGCGAAUAUAUGAGUAUUUUAGUAUACUUGUCAGUGAUUUCAGAUAAUGUGUUUGUUAUCAAAAAGGUCCCAAGCUAUUAUCUAAAACAUGUGGUUAUCAGCAUAUAUUUACCAUCCUCUUCAUAAGGAACACCUGCACAGUGUAAUUAAAUUCAAUAAGAACCUUGACACGAAUUCUGCUUUUACAUGAUCUCUGCAUUUCCUUUUUGCCAUGUAGGUUAAUAAUUUGGAGUAAAUAUUAAGAGCAUUUUUCAGUGCAAAUACUCUACUGCCCUCACAAUAACCUCAGCAGCCAAUAUAAAAUGUUACCUAUUGGACAGUGCUAGCGAAAAAGUAAAUGGUACCAGUAGAAAUUGUGGCAGAGGCUUUGUAUGAGAUUGCAUAAGUUGGAUACAUGUGAAUGAAUAUAACAUCUUUGUUAUGGCUUCAUUUUCUCUUUAAAAUUGAUGCUGUAAUGUCUUAUAAAUGUCCUAACUGUCCCUCCAUCCUGUCCACCUGUCCUGUCUCAGUGGUUUGGUGAAAGCCAAGCUUGUCAGUCUGUUGUAUGCGCUGCUGUUGGGGUGCUUAUCUUUGGAGUGUCGGCCGCUGGGGCUUAUGGUAAAUACUCACCUGGAUACUCACAUGUGUUUAAAUCAGCCACACAGAGAUGCAGGGAUGUCUGGAUGCAAAGAGGAACUAGUUAUUUUAUCUCUUGAAAUAUAAACUGUCAUGGUUCUCGGUCAUUUAACCCAGUGUUUUGAGUUUCUUGUGUUUUUUGUCAUUUUGUAUUAUGUUAGUUUACUGUGUUAUUCUAGGGUUGAUUCUGUAGUCCCUUGGUUAUUCUGUUUAGCUUUUGUUUAUUAGAUUCCCUUUUGUGUCUUUGCUCUCUGUGUUUCCCUGUGGGCGUCUGUAUUUAUUUAAUUGUGUGAGUCCUUGUGCCGUGUUUCUCCUUGUGUUUUAUUACGUCAUGUUUAUCUAUGUUCCCCAGCUCGUCAUGUCCUCUCUCUCCCUCGUGCUCCUCCGUGUUCUCUCUCCCCCUCCAGUCAGCAUCUCCGUGUACUUCCCGUAUAACUAUGAUAUUCUCCCAUCAGUCACAUGGCGUUUGCUCUUCCCCUUUCUCGUUAUGACUAUUUAUAUCAGCUGUGUUCCCCGUGUGCUCACAUGUCCCUCGUUAUCUUUCUGUGUAUUUAUGUCAGGGUCUCCCUCAGUUUGGUAUCACGCCCUCCCUCAUGGCUGUGUCUCUCUCUAUGCUUCCACAAGUGUAUUAUUAGUAGAACUUUCCCAGUUUAGUUUUGUAUCGCCUUUCAUCCAGCAAAUAAAGCUCAGAUGUUUUGAGUUCA
Non-coding RNA from Maylandia zebra (zebra mbuna), 1796 nucleotides. Lineage: Eukaryota; Metazoa; Chordata; Actinopteri; Cichliformes; Cichlidae. The record is from RefSeq and is a predicted model, not a curated record.